RNAcentral lists this ribosomal RNA (468 nucleotides) under uncultured bacterium. Its description in RNAcentral is "partial 16S ribosomal RNA". It matches the Rfam family "Bacterial small subunit ribosomal RNA", at positions 28 to 507 of the family's 1533-position model. The record is from RNAcentral.
GACGAACGCUGGCGGCGUGCUUAACACAUGCAAGUCGAACGGAAAGGCCCUGCUUUUGUGGGGUGCUCGAGUGGCGAACGGGUGAGUAACACGUGAGUAACCUGCCCUUGACUUUGGGAUAACUUCAGGAAACUGGGGCUAAUACCGGAUAGGAGCUCCUGCUGCAUGGUGGGGGUUGGAAAGUUUCGGCGGUUGGGGAUGGACUCGCGGCUUAUUAGCUUGUUGGUGGGGUAGUGGCUUACCAAGGCUUUGACGGGUAGCCGGCCUGAGAGGGUGACCGGCGACAUUGGGACUGAGAUACGGCCCAGACUCCUACGGGAGGCAGCAGUGGGGAAUAUUGCACAAUGGGCGGAAGCCUGAUGCAGCAACGCCGCGUGCGGGAUGACGGCCUUCGUGUUGUAAACCGCUUUCGCCUGUGACGAAGCGUGAGUGACGGUAAUGGGUAAAGAAGCACCGGCUAACUACGUG